AUGAUUAGUGGCGGACGGGUGAGUAACAUUUAGGAAUCUACCUAGUAGUGGGGGAUAGCUCGGGGAAACUCGAAUUAAUACCGCAUACGACCUACGGGUGAAAGGGGGCGCAAGCUCUUGCUAUUAGAUGAGCCUAAAUCAGAUUAGCUAGUUGGUGGGGUAAAGGCCUACCAAGGCGACGAUCCAUAGCUGGUCUGAGAGGAUGAUCAGCCACACUGGAACUGAGACACGGUCCAGACUGCUACGGGAGGCAGCAGUGGGGAAU
Molecule: ribosomal RNA, 265 nt
Filed under: Heterosigma akashiwo
Lineage: Eukaryota; Raphidophyceae; Chattonellales; Chattonellaceae
Description: partial Bacterial small subunit ribosomal RNA
Rfam family: Bacterial small subunit ribosomal RNA
Source: RNAcentral